AUGGAGACAGGUAAGAGAUCGGUGAUCGCCAGGGUUGAGUGGGAGAGAAGGAACAGUGGGGUACGAAGGGCUCCUAGGGUGGCGAACCCCUCUGCGUGCCCCUGCAGUGGCGAGCCGGUGCCAGAUGCCCAGGAUGUACUGCACCAGGAGCCGGCUGCGGUCCUCGGGGGGGAUAACGCGGGAGGGGGAGGGCAGGCGCAUCACUGCAGCAGGGGACCGCUCUGCGGAGAGGCGCUGAGACGGGAACGCACCACGCCUCUGCGCCAUCACACGCAAAGCUCUUCCAAAUUGGACCAAAACUGUUCCGAGUCCCCAGAUGUUCCUUUCCUUCCUUCUCCACCAGCAUCGUGUGCGUGAAAAGCAAAUGACUGUCACUUUCACACAAUCGUGCUCGUUCUGACUGCAGAAAUCUGUUGCGUUCUUCAAGUCCAGGACAACCCAUCGGGACGCCGAACCCACCAGAAGGUAACUAUGAAUGGUUAAAAAAAUCAUGCUAAAUUCUGCAUAGAGAUAGCUAAUCACUCUUCCCUGGAAAAACUUACUUCCUUAUUGUAUCAGUAUCUACUCUCAUGCAACAAAGCGCUCUAAAACUUCAGUGGCCUAAAACAAAUAUUCAUGGCUUCACUGUUUCUGCGAGGUCGUCGCUGAUGGCCCUGGUCUCAGAACCUCAUGCUCCUGUCGUUGGCGUUGGGAUGCUGGCGGACUGCAGCCAGCUGAAGGUUUGACGAGGGGCCGGGGACACCCCAAGCUGGCCUUCUGUUUCUGUCUGCUUGCUGUCCGGGGCCUCGGUUCCUCCUGCGUGGACAUCUCCCGAGGCUGUGUGUCUCCUCGCGACGUGGCAGGGGAAAGAGGAUGGAUCUUGUAGUGCAUUCCAUGACCCAGUCACAUAAGUUCACAAUUGUCCCUUCCGCUGUGUUACCUUCCACGGAAGUCCGUCACCGCGUCAGCCCACACACACCUCAGGGGAAGAGAAGUAGGCACCACCUUAUUGUUUUUUUUAAUGAUUUUUAUUUUUUGCGGUGCUCAGACCAGAAUGCAGGGCAUUAUGCAGGCUGGACAAGCGCCCAGCCACCCAGCUACACCCUGAGCUCGACACCAUCUUUUUAUUUUGGUACCGGGGAUCGAACUCUCGAUCUUACACUUGCAAGGCAGGCGGCAGCACACUGAGCUAAAUCCCUGGCCCUCAAUUCCAUCUUUUAAAGGGAGGAAUAUCAAAGAGUUUGUGGACAUACUUUAAACCCACCGCAGUUAUCUUCUGCCAAAAGACGGCUCUCCUGCCUGGCUUCCUGUCUCUGGCUGCUCCCCUCAGCAUCCCUGUGUGGUUCUGCCCUUGAAUACUGGGCCUCUGGGGCUCCUCACUUCCCUGCUUUUGCUUUGGGGCGCAUCCUGCACUCCUAUGUACCACCUUCAGGACAAUCUUUCUUUUCUUUUCUUUCUUUCUUUCUUUCUUUCUUUCUUGCUUUCUUUCUUGCUUUCUUUCUUGCUUUCUUUCUUGCUUUCUUUCUUGCUUUCUUUCUUUCUUUCUUGCUUUCUUUCUUGCUUUCUUUCUUGCUAGGUUGAUUCAGUUGUUAUGCAGUGCUGGGGGCCAAACCCAGGGCUUUGCACGUGCCAAGCAUACCCUUCACCACCAAGCUGCACCCUCAGCGCUGGCACAGACUUUCUGAAUGGACUGUGGCUCUGUGGACCCUGCCGUCUCUGUUGCAGACACUCAGCUCUCCUGCUGUCUGUGAGAGCAACCACAGGUCAUACAGAAAUGAAUGGGCUUGGGCUGGGGAUUCAGCUCAGUGGUUCCGCCGCCUGCCUCCAAAGUGCAAGGACCUGAGUUCAAUCCCUAUAGAAACAAAUGGGCAGCCGGGCAGGAUGGCGCACACCUGUACUCCCAGCACUCAGGAGGCUGAGGCAGGAGGAUCACUGUGAGUUCGAGACCAGCCUGGGCUACAUAGUGAGUUCCAGGUCAGUCUCAACUACAUAGUGAGAGCCUGUCUCAAAACAAAACAAAACAAAACAAACAACCAAACCAAUGGGCUUGACUGUGCUCCAGGCGUGGCUUAUUUGCAAAACAGGCUGCCAGCCCACUGACUAUAGUUUGUUGACCCUGCUGUGACUUACCCACCUUCUUGGACCCUUUUCCCUGGUCUCCACGCACGUCCACCUGCCCUCUGGAUAUAGAGUUUGCUCAGACUCGGCUCUGCCUGUGUUCUACUGCCCAUGCUUGGUUUUCUCCUAUAUUCUAUUUUGCAACUGCGGGAGCCACAGAACAAGGUGAUUUCAAACUCACCCUCCUUCCCCACCUGCCCCAUCCUGUCAGUCACCACGGAGUCUAACUCCUACAGUCAUCUCAAGCCUUUUCCUUGGCUCUGUUUCCACCGCCAUCACCCUAAGUGGUGCUUGAUCCUGCCUGAAACAUCACAGUCAUCACCUGGGCUCAACAGCGGCCUGCCAAAAAUGUCCUUGUUCGGUCCCUAGAAUCUGUGAAUGUAUUGCUUUCUGUGCCAAAGGUACUCUGCAGAGGUGACUAAGCAAGGACCUACAGAUGUCCUUAUUAUCCAGGUGGGCCCAGUGUGAUCAGAAGGGUGGAGCGAGAGGCGGAAGGGUCAGGGUGUGGCAAGGCAGACUGAAAUUGAAGUGAUGCUCUUUGAAAUUGCAGGAGGGGCCACAGCCCAAGGAAGGCAGGCACCUCUGGAAGCAGGAAAAGGCAAGAAAUGGAUCUUCCAUUUCAGCCUCCAGACGGCCCAGCCCUGCCUCCUCCUUAACUUUAGCUCAGUGAGUCUGACUUUGGCCUUCUGACCUCCAGAGCUGCCAGAUACUACGUUUGUGUUGUUUUAAGCUGCUAGAUCUCUGAUGAGUUUUCACCGCAGUGACGGGAAACCAGUACACGUCCUAACCCUUCCUGCAGUCUCGCUGUGCUCCAGCCCUGCUCUGCACACCUCCCCAGAACACAAACACAACCUGUCACUCCCCGCUGAGAAGGUUUCCGUAAGCUCCUCCGUGCCCCCACCGGCUCGUGCCCUCACCAGACCACGUGUUCUUGUGAUGUCCUCUCCCCGUGUUAGAUGGGCCGCUUUCUGCUUCAGAUAUGUUUUCAUGCCCUCUCUCCCCUGCCUGGCUCCUCCUGGUUCCCUUCAGUUCUCACUUAGGCACCCUGGCACAGGGCACAGGCCGGUCCCUCUGUGGAGGGUGUCACCAUGAUCCUCACCGCAGCCCUGCCCACAGCAAGGUCACGACUCACAUCUGUCUGCUGACCACGGUGGACCUGGCACUGGCAAACAUGAGUGGCAGGUUCUGGAGAGUUUAGGGGGUGCGGGUGAGGGGCUCCUGUACUAUCUGAUAACCCCCCAAGAAAGGGGAAGAAAAGCCCCCGGAGAGAUCUGGGGCUGACUUGCCCUGGUUUUCCUUCUGCUCAGCCGUGGUGGGGAAGACGCUGGGAAGGGUAGCCAGGCGUCACUGCUACAAUCAGCUGGGCCUUUCAUUCUCCCUCUACAAAGGGGAGCGAGCGAAUCAAAGGGAGAUAAAAGUGCACGUUCCGCAAAGGACAUGGCAACGAGGGAGAAGGAAGGGAGCGUGGCCGGAGAGAGGCAGAGGCACAGGGGAAAGCUGUGGCCUGCACAAAGGCCGAAAACCAGCCGAUCCCAAGGAUCAGACGGUGCAGACAGAAGACGGAAAGGGCCCGGGCUGUAUGGGAUGGGGCAGCCCUUCAGCCACGGAGGAGGGCACUGAGGAAAGAUAAAACACCUAGGGAAGAGGGCGGAGAGGGACGCCAAGUGGAGUUGGGACAAAAGCAUGAAAGACAAGAUUGUCACCGUCCAGUGAGCCGCUGGGUCAGGACAAAACAGAGGAGCUGGAGACAAAGGCAGAGGGAGGAGGUGGGAAGGGAGCAGCUGGCCUCUGCAUUGGUGGCAGGGCUGUCAGCAGGGGCUCCUCAGUACUGUCCAAGGGUCUGUGGCAGCUCUGGCAGAGGGAGGUAAUCAGGACACUGGCCUAUAUUUAAUGAAAGAAAUCCUAUCUGAUGAGCUGUCACCUUGAACUUUAAAUCUAUGAAAUUUAAAAAAUAAACACGAGCAAAGUGGCCUCAAGCUUUCCAAUACAUACAUGCACUUUUGUGUCUGGCUUUUUUCUCUCCACAGUAUGUCAUUUGUAGUGCAGCAAAGCUAUUAUCAUUGUUGUAUAGUAUUCCAUUGUGUAAAUAUACCACAGUGUAUUUAUCUGUUCUUCCACCUGGUGAGGGCCCCCCAUUUCUUACCCAAAACCUCAGGUCCACAUGCAUUUCAGAGUUCUAGAACGUCAAGACUCCCAGGCAGGGUCUGCAGGCCCUGUGAUCAAGCAUGUCAUGGUUUAUAUCUAGAUAUCCCCAGAGCCUUAUACGCUCAUAGGUGAGGAUUUGGGGAGGUGAUUAGAUCACGGGAGAAUCACAGUCAUCAGUGAGUCAGUCCACUGCUGAGUUUAUAGGUAAAUGGCAAGCUGAAAGUAAAGUCUCGUGGGAGGAGGCGGGUCACCGGGGCACGGCCUGGGAGGGUCUGUCUCCUUCCCUUCCCCGUCCGUCUCACUGGCUUCUGCAUCCACGCCAUGAGCUGCCCUCUCUGCGGUGCCCCUGUGCCCUGCCACCCUGCCUUAGAACCUCAACAGUCUGUGAGCCGAGUAACCGUCUCCUCCUUCGGGUGUGGGCAUCGAGAACUGUGUCUCAACUCUGAGCGAAGUAACUAAGACAAAGACUGAAUGUUUCUGCAGGGGAGGAAUGAGAACUCGCCCUAGGAGCUUCGCCUAAGAUCAGCCACGUUUCCACCUCCACACGAGUUCGGGCCAGAUUGGGUUUGGCUGCCAAAUAAGAGAUGGCAGUGUUUUUGGUUUUUAAGCACUUUUGCAUUUCAGAAUUCAGAAUUAGGGCUUUUGAGACGUAUACUUCUCUCGUUCCCAAUAAUAUUUGCUUUGGGAAACCCCC
Long non-coding RNA from Fukomys damarensis (Damara mole-rat), 4936 nucleotides. NCBI's taxonomy places the organism in Eukaryota, Metazoa, Chordata, Mammalia, Rodentia, Bathyergidae. The record is from Ensembl.